CGUCUACGAGUUUGAUCAUGGCUCAGAACGAACGCUGGCGGCAGGCCUAACACAUGCAAGUCGAGCGAACCCUUCGGGGUUAGCGGCGGACGGGUUAGUAACGCGUGGGAAUAUACCCUUUGGUACGGAAUAGCCUCGGGAAACUGAGAGUAAUACCGUAUGUGCCCUUCGGGGAAAGAUUAUCGCCAAAGGAUUAGCCCGCGUUGGAUUAGAUAGUUGGUGGGGUAAGUGGCCUACCAAGUCUACGAUCCAUAGCUGGUUUGAGAGGAUGAUCAGCAACACCGGGACUGAGACACGGCCCAGACUCCUACGGGAGGCAGCAGUGGGGAAUCUUAGACAAUGGGCGCAAGCCUGAUCUAGCCAUGCCGCGUGGACGAUGAAGGCCUUAGGGUUGUAAAGUCCUUUCAGAUGGGAAGAUAAUGACGGUACCAUCAGAAGAAGCCCCGGCUAACUCCGUG
Molecule: ribosomal RNA, 458 nt
Filed under: uncultured bacterium
Lineage: Bacteria
Description: bacterial SSU rRNA
Rfam family: Bacterial small subunit ribosomal RNA
Source: RNAcentral